This 253-nucleotide ribosomal RNA is filed under the name uncultured bacterium. RNAcentral describes it as "partial 16S ribosomal RNA". It matches the Rfam family "Bacterial small subunit ribosomal RNA", at positions 524 to 776 of the family's 1533-position model. The record is from RNAcentral.
UACGUAGGGUGCGAGCGUUAAUCGGAAUUACUGGGCGUAAAGGGCGCGUAGGCGGCCUUCUAAGUCGAACGUGAAAUCCCCGGGCUCAACCCGGGAACUGCGUCCGAUACUGGAAGGCUUGAAUCCGAGAGAGGGAUGCGGAAUUCCAGGUGUAGCGGUGAAAUGCGUAGAUAUCUGGAGGAACACCGGUGGCGAAGGCGGCAUCCUGGACCGGCAUUGACGCUGAGGCGCGAAAGCCAGGGGAGCAAACGGG